CAAAAAAGGGGGGGACGGGGGACGCCACUCGAGCAGCUCCGAGCAGCUCGAGGCUCCAUCACUCAUGGAGCAGAGAAGCCCUUCGCCAGUUUGCCGGACGGUCGUCGACAGCAGAGCAGACACACGAGUGCACAUAUAGCAACAAAUACCCUGUCUGUUGGUUGCAUACAAAGUACAUACCUAGGUUACAUUUGAUACAUCAUGUAUUUGCAAUUCAUUUAACAACACAAGUUGUUGAUAAAACAAUUACUGAUAUUUAGGCACUUUUACUUUAAAACAGGUACAUAAUUUGAUGUGUGCAUGGUUUAAGAAAGCAUUUAAUUUAAGUACUUUCAAGUAAAUUUCUUUCUUUCUUUAGAGUUGAACUUUUCUGAACUAUCAACUGUGACUAGAUUGACAAAUGCCAAAAGAAAAGUUAAAUCAAAACAGGUCCUGUCUACAGGAAUGUAAGAGAGAAAUUAUAUCUAACCCUGACACCACAAAAGAAAUGCUGGAAUAAAAUUUUACGGUAAAAGGAAGAAGAAAUCUAGUCUAAGACCUUGUAUCAGCACAAAACGUAACAAGUCUCAGUCAAUCAGAUAUCUAAAAGAAAAAGAAUAAAA
Frankliniella occidentalis (western flower thrips) is the source of this 602-nucleotide long non-coding RNA. RefSeq lists it as uncharacterized. Lineage: Eukaryota; Metazoa; Arthropoda; Insecta; Thysanoptera; Thripidae. The transcript has 2 exons. The record is from RefSeq and is a predicted model, not a curated record.